GGUUAAUGACAAAGUACCCAUAACGGUGAAAACAGGCAAAUCGUAAAGACGCCGUAAACCCUUCCCUAGGGGGGACGAGCCGCGCCAUCCUUGGCACGGACGCUUU
Molecule: non-coding RNA, 106 nt
Filed under: Yersinia enterocolitica
Lineage: Bacteria; Pseudomonadati; Pseudomonadota; Gammaproteobacteria; Enterobacterales; Yersiniaceae
Source: RNAcentral